AUGUCGCUGUCAUUGCUACUGACUGGAGCUUGGUCGCCGCCUUCCCCUUCAUCUGACACCAUCCUGCUCCAGCCGGUGGACCGAUGUAUUCCCCUUCCUUGGCUAGAGUUUGGUUGCCACCUCCCCUACCUUUCACACCAUCCGGCCCGUGGAUCGCCGUCUUUCCCUUCCUUGGCUGGAGAUUGGCCUCCGCUCGCCGCUACGGUUAGGGCUAGCCAGUUACUGUUGUCGUUGCCGCUAGCUGGAGCUCGGCAGGUCAGUGCAUCCUCACCCUUCUAUCCCACCCUCUUUCUCCUCUCUCUCUCUCUCUCUGAACCCCACUCGUCUCGGCGGGUGAGAGUGAGACGCCGCCCUUUUGUCCAUUCCUUUCUUAUACUUUGA
RNAcentral lists this ribosomal RNA (381 nucleotides) under Triticum aestivum (bread wheat). RNAcentral describes it as "partial small subunit ribosomal RNA". The record is from RNAcentral. Lineage: Eukaryota; Viridiplantae; Streptophyta; Magnoliopsida; Poales; Poaceae.